Molecule: ribosomal RNA, 447 nt
Filed under: uncultured cyanobacterium
Lineage: Bacteria; Bacillati; Cyanobacteriota
Description: bacterial SSU rRNA
Rfam family: Bacterial small subunit ribosomal RNA
Source: RNAcentral
AAUGAAAGCUAGCGGUAUGCCUAAUACAUGCAAGUCGUACGGAAAUUUAGCCUUCGGGCGAAGAUUUUAGUGGCGAACGGGUGCGUAACACGUGAGAAUCUGCCUUUAGGAAGAGGAUAACUACUAGAAGUAGUAGCUAAUACUUUAUAUGCCUAACGGUGAAAGAAGCAAUUCGCCUAAAGAGGAGCUCGCGUCUGAUUAGCUAGUUGGUAGGGUAAGAGCCUACCAAGGCGACGAUCAGUAGCUGGUUUGAGAGGAUGAUCAGCCACAUUGGAACUGAGACACGGUCCAGACUCCUACGGGAGGCAGCAGUAAGGAAUAUUCUACAAUGGGCGAAAGCCUGAUAGAGCAAUACCGCGUGAGGGAUGACUGCCUACGGGUUGUAAACCUCUUUUCUCAAGGAGGAAGAACUGACGUUACUUGAGGAAUAAGCAUCGGCUAACCCUG